UGCAGUCGAGCGGAUCUUUCAAAGCUUGCUUUUGGAAGAUCAGCGGCGGACGGGUGAGUAACACGUGGGCAACCUGCCUGUGAGACUGGGAUAACUUCGGGAAACCGGAGCUAAUACCGGAUAAUAUAAGGAACCUCCUGGUUCUUUAUUGAAAGAUGGUUUCGGCUAUCACUCACAGAUGGGCCCGCGGCGCAUUAGCUAGUUGGUGAGGUAACGGCUCACCAAGGCGACGAUGCGUAGCCGACCUGAGAGGGUGAUCGGCCACACUGGGACUGAGACACGGCCCAGACUCCUACGGGAGGCAGCAGUAGGGAAUCUUCCACAAUGGACGAAAGUCUGAUGGAGCAACGCCGCGUGAGCGAUGAAGGCCUUCGGGUCGUAAAGCUCUGUUGUUAGGGAAGAACAAGUGCGAGAGUAACUGCUCGCACCUUGACGGUACCUAACCAGAAAGCCACGGCUAACUACGUGCCAGCAGCCGCGGUAAUACGUAGGUGGCAAGCGUUGUCCGGAAUUAUUGGGCGUAAAGCGCGCGCAGGUGGUCCUUUAAGUCUGAUGUGAAAGCCCACGGCUCAACCGUGGAGGGUCAUUGGAAACUGGGGGACUUGAGUGCAGAAGAGGAAAGUGGAAUUCCAAGUGUAGCGGUGAAAUGCGUAGAGAUUUGGAGGAACACCAGUGGCGAAGGCGACUUUCUGGUCUGUAACUGACACUGAGGCGCGAAAGCGUGGGGAGCAAACAGGAUUAGAUACCCUGGUAGUCCACGCCGUAAACGAUGAGUGCUAAGUGUUAGAGGGUUUCCGCCCUUUAGUGCUGCAGCUAACGCAU
RNAcentral lists this ribosomal RNA (822 nucleotides) under Sutcliffiella horikoshii. RNAcentral's name for it is "bacterial SSU rRNA". It matches the Rfam family "Bacterial small subunit ribosomal RNA", at positions 56 to 860 of the family's 1533-position model. Lineage: Bacteria; Bacillati; Bacillota; Bacilli; Caryophanales; Bacillaceae. The record is from RNAcentral.